Cyanistes caeruleus (blue tit) is the source of this 1957-nucleotide long non-coding RNA. NCBI's taxonomy places the organism in Eukaryota, Metazoa, Chordata, Aves, Passeriformes, Paridae. The record is from Ensembl.
CACCCGGCGAUGUCACCCCCCCUCCCCAGGUGCCAGCCCCAGCUGUCCCCUCCCCUCACCUGUAGCGCCGGCGCUGUUGCACCAGGUGUCGGCGGCGCUGCCGCUGCAGCCGCGGGUGUCGCUCCAUGGCCGGCGUGGUGGCUGCGGUGACAUCGACAGGUGUGAACAGGUGUGUCACAGGUGUGUCCCCAGCUGUCACCCGGUGUCCCCCCAGCUGUCCCCCGGUGUCCCCAGGUGUCCCAGGUGUGCUCACCUGUACCCUCGGGCAGCUCCCAGGUGUUGUACCCCUCGAGCCAGCGGUAGCACGGGAAGUGGAAGGGCCCCAGGUCAGCGACGUCAUCGGUGUCACCUGUGGGGGUGACGUCACCUGGAGUGGCACAGGUGUCACCUGCAGGGGUGACGUCACCUGGAGUGGAACUGGUGUCACCUGCGGUAGUGAUGUCACCUGUGAUGUCACAGGCGUCACCUGCAGCGGUGAUGUCACCUGGAGUGGCACAGGUGUCACUUUUGCAGGUUAUGAUGUGAUGUGUGCCACUCCAGGUGUCACCUAUGCCACCACCUUCACCUGUGCUGGCAGUGACGAUGUCACCUGUGCCAUUCCAGGUGCAACUUGUGCCAUUGCAGGUGUCACCUGUGCACCUGAUGAUGUCACCUGUGCCAUUGCAGAUGUCACCUGUGCCAUUACAGCUGUCACCUGUGCACCUGAUGAUGUCACCUGUGCCACUCCAGGUGUCACCCGUGCCAUUGCAGGUGUCCCAAAUGCCACUGCAGGUGUCACCUGUGCCACUCCAGGUGUCACCUGUGCCACUCCAGGUGUCACCUAUGCCAUAGCAGGUGUCACCUGUGCCACCACCCUCACCUGUGCUGGCAGUGCCGAUGUCACCUGUGCCAUUCCAGGUGUCACCUGUGCCAUUGCAGGUGUCCCCAGUGCCACUCCAGGUGUCACCUGUGUCACUGCAGGUGUCACCUGUGCCACUCCAGGUGUCACCUGUGCCACCACCCUCACCUCUGCUGGCAGUGCCAAUGUCACCUGUGUCACUGCAGGUGUCACCUGUGCCACUCCAGGUGUCACCUGUGCCACCACGCUCACCUGUGCUGGCAGUGCCGAUGUCACUCGCGCUGUCCUCAGGCUCCUCCUCCAGCUCCUCCUCCUCUGUCACCUCCUCGCUGUCACCUGUCCCCUCCUCCUCCUCCUCCUCUGCCACCUCCUCCUCGCUGUCACCUUCAUCCUCCUCCUCCUCCUCCUCCUCGUCCCAGCUGUCCCCAUCGCUGUCACCAUCACUGUCACCGUCGCUGUCACCGUCGCUGUCACCGUCACUGUCCCCGGGGGUGUUCCCGGGGGUGUCCCCGCGCUGUCCCCACACGGUGACGCUCUCCAGGUACCAGGAGCUCUCGGGGAGACCCCCACAGGGCCCCUUGUGCACCUGCAGCAGCAACAGGCGGCCCAGGGGACGGGGGACAGGGACACGGUACUCUGUCACCUGGGGACACGGGGACAUUGUCAGUGUGUCACUGUCACUGUGUCACUGUCACUGUGUCACUGUCACUGUGACUGUGUCACUGUCAGUGUGUCACUGUGUCACUGUCACUGUGUCACUGUGUCCCUGUCACUGUGUCACUGUCACUGUGUCACUGUCACUGUGUCACUGUGUCACUGUCACUGUGUCACUGUGUCACUGUGUCACUGUGUCACUGUCACACACCAGCUCCAGGCUGUGACAUGGACUGUGAUGUCACUCGCUCCAUGCCACCGUUGUCCCUGCUGUCCCCAGCCCGGCAGUGUCACUGUCACCUUGCUGCGCGGCUGUUGUCACCACAGUGCCACUGUCACCUCCACUGUGGCUGUGCCACCACCGCUGUGUCACCAUCGCUGUCACUGUGCCACCACCACCGCUGUGCCACCGCUGUCACCACUGUGCCACCACCGCUGUGUCACCACCAUCGUGUCACCAUUGUC